GACGAGGAGGACGAAAAGGCCCUCACUGCAUUCAUGUCCAAGGAAACCUCCUCCAAACGAUCGCUUGGUGAUAUCAUCCUCCAGAAGAUCAAAGAGAAGGACGCCACUGUCUCAACAUGCUUUCUCCAUGGUUAAUAUGAAUUAUGCAAGGAUCAGAGGAAGGCGGGGAGCUGGCCUUCUCCAUGUCUCGGGGGAGAGUGUCUUCCUUGGAUUCAACAAGAAGGGGACCCGACCUUCUUCACAUCUCGUGCAACAAGGGUGAUCGACGCAGACUAGCACAGCCCGGUGGUGUCGUGCUCUUCAACCACUCGGAGACGGACUUCGCCAUGAAGCCCGAAGACUACAUCGUGCAGAUGACCAUCCAGAUGAUUGUGAAUUGUGACACCGGAGGUCGCCGAGGUGGAGGACCUCGACGCCACCGUCCGGCGGGAGGGAGGGUUCGGGUCCACCGGUGGUUGAACUCCGAAUCUUGGUAGAUACAUCUAGACAAGUGGUCUGGUUGUUUGCGUCUGAUGUUAAAUGGGAUCUCGUGAACUCUUCGAGUUGAGAUGUUCAAUGUUGCGUCCAUGAACGCUGCAAGUGCUAAGAUGGUUCUGUGAUCUUAGUUUAUUUUGCACUGGACA
Long non-coding RNA from Triticum dicoccoides, 623 nucleotides. RefSeq lists it as uncharacterized. The record is from RefSeq and is a predicted model, not a curated record. NCBI's taxonomy places the organism in Eukaryota, Viridiplantae, Streptophyta, Magnoliopsida, Poales, Poaceae. The transcript has 4 exons.